This 497-nucleotide ribosomal RNA is filed under the name uncultured bacterium. Its description in RNAcentral is "partial 16S ribosomal RNA". It matches the Rfam family "Bacterial small subunit ribosomal RNA", at positions 28 to 507 of the family's 1533-position model. The record is from RNAcentral.
GAUGAACGCUGGCGGCGUGCCUAAUACAUGCAAGUCGAGCGAACAGACGAGGAGCUUGCUCCUUUGACGUUAGCGGCGGACGGGUGAGUAACACGUGGGUAACCUACAUAUAAGAAUGGGAUAACUUCGGGAAACCGGAGCUAAUACCGGAUACUAUUUCGAACCGCAUGGUUCGAUAGUGAAAGAUGGCUUUGCUAUCACUUAUAGAUGGACCUGCGCCGUAUUAGCUAGUUGGUAAGGUAACGGCUUACCAAGGCAACGAUACGUAGCCGACCUGAGAGGGUGAUCGGCCACACUGGAACUGAGACACGGUCCGGACUCCUACGGGAGGCAGCAGAAGGGAAUCUUCCGCAAUGGGCGGAAGCCUGACGGAACAACGCCGCGUGAGUGAUAAAGGUCUUCGGAUCGUAAAACUCUGUUAUUAGGGAAGAACAAACGUGUAAGUAACUGUGCACGUCUUGACGGUACCUAAUCAGAAAGCCACGGCUAACUACGUG